Molecule: non-coding RNA, 94 nt
Organism: Mycena metata
Lineage: Eukaryota; Fungi; Basidiomycota; Agaricomycetes; Agaricales; Mycenaceae
Source: the annotation of a GenBank genome assembly
GCCUCUGUGGAUCAGUGUUAGAUCACCUCUCCCAAGUAUUCGGAGGCUCGCAUGUUUGCAAGAGGAGACAUGGGUUCGAAUCCCAUCGGAGGCA